GUCCACGCCCUAAACGAUGUCAACCAGUUGUCGGGACUUAAUUGUCUUGGUAACGCAGCUAACGCGUGAAGUUGACCGCCUGGGGAGUACGGUCGCAAGAUUAAAACUCAAAGGAAUUGACGGGGACCCGCACAAGCGGUGGAUGAUGUGGAUUAAUUCGAUGCAACGCGAAAAACCUUACCUACCCUUGACAUGGUACAAAUUUUCCAGAGAUGGAAGAGUGCUCGCAAGAGAAUGUAUACACAGGUGCUGCAUGGCUGUCGU
This 264-nucleotide ribosomal RNA is filed under the name uncultured bacterium. RNAcentral describes it as "partial 16S ribosomal RNA". It matches the Rfam family "Bacterial small subunit ribosomal RNA", at positions 793 to 1055 of the family's 1533-position model. The record is from RNAcentral.